RNAcentral lists this ribosomal RNA (253 nucleotides) under uncultured bacterium. Its description in RNAcentral is "partial 16S ribosomal RNA". It matches the Rfam family "Bacterial small subunit ribosomal RNA", at positions 524 to 776 of the family's 1533-position model. The record is from RNAcentral.
UACGUAGGGUGCAAGCGUUAAUCGGAAUUACUGGGCGUAAAGCGUGCGCAGGCGGUUAUGUAAGACAGAUGUGAAAUCCCCGGGCUCAACCUGGGAACUGCAUCUGUGACUGCAUAGCUAGAGUACGGUAGAGGGGGAUGGAAUUCCGCGUGUAGCAGUGAAAUGCGUAGAUAUGCGGAGGAACACCGAUGGCGAAGGCAAUCCCCUGGACCUGUACUGACGCUCAUGCACGAAAGCGUGGGGAGCAAACAGG